GAUGAACGCUGGCGGCGUGCCUAAUACAUGCAAGUCGAGCGAACAGACGAGGAGCUUGCUCCUUUGACGUUAGCGGCGGACGGGUGAGUAACAGGUAGGUAACCGACCUAUAAGGCUGGGAUAACUUCGGGAAACCGGAGCUAGUACCGGAUAAUAUUUUGAACCGGAGGGUUCUAUAGUGAAAGCGGGCUUGGCUCUCCCUUAUAGAUGGACCUGCGCCGUAUUAGCUAGUUGGUAAGGUAACGGCUUACCAAGGCAACGAUCCGUAGCCGACCUGAGAGGGUGAUCGGCCACACUGGAACUGAGACACGGUCCAGACUCCUACGGGAGGCAGCAGUAGGGAAUCUUCCGCAAUGGGCGCAAGCCUGACGGAGCAACGCCGCGUGAGUGAUGAAGGUCUUCGGAUCGUAAAACUCUGUUAUUAGGGACGAAAAAACGUGUAAGUAACUGUGCACGUCUUGACGGUACCUUAUCAGAAAGCAACGGCUAACUACGUG
RNAcentral lists this ribosomal RNA (497 nucleotides) under uncultured bacterium. RNAcentral's name for it is "partial 16S ribosomal RNA". It matches the Rfam family "Bacterial small subunit ribosomal RNA", at positions 28 to 507 of the family's 1533-position model. The record is from RNAcentral.